GCUGCCAUGCUCUCUCUCUCUCUCUCUCUUUUGCACUGUUCAUGUACUGUUUCUGCACUACACUUUCUUCAUCUGCAUCUUUUUUUUUUUUGGCUGCCAAUGCCAUGCUCUCUCUAUUCUGGUUUCUUCUGCACUGUUCCAGCAGGUGCAAUUCUCCAUUUUUUCCUUUUCUUUGCCAUGCCCUUUCCUUACCCUGCAAUGCUUUUCUUUUUCUUUUCUUUUUAGUAUAAA
Molecule: unclassified non-coding RNA, 231 nt
Filed under: Hevea brasiliensis (rubber tree)
Lineage: Eukaryota; Viridiplantae; Streptophyta; Magnoliopsida; Malpighiales; Euphorbiaceae
Source: RNAcentral